This 77-nucleotide transfer RNA is filed under the name Solobacterium moorei. Its description in RNAcentral is "tRNA-Pro(tgg)". It matches the Rfam family "tRNA". Rfam says of the family: Transfer RNA (tRNA) molecules are approximately 80 nucleotides in length. Their secondary structure includes four short double-helical elements and three loops (D, anti-codon, and T loops). Further hydrogen bonds mediate the characteristic L-shaped molecular structure. tRNAs have two regions of fundamental functional importance: the anti-codon, which is responsible for specific mRNA codon recognition, and the 3' end, to which the tRNAs corresponding amino acid is attached (by aminoacyl-tRNA synthetases). tRNAs cope with the degeneracy of the genetic code in two manners: having more than one tRNA (with a specific anti-codon) for a particular amino acid; and 'wobble' base-pairing, i.e. permitting non-standard base-pairing at the 3rd anti-codon position. RNAcentral also lists the same sequence under 4 other names. The record is from RNAcentral. Lineage: Bacteria; Bacillati; Bacillota; Erysipelotrichia; Erysipelotrichales; Erysipelotrichaceae.
CGGGAUGUAGCACAGCUUGGUAGUGUACUUGAUUUGGGAUCAAGGGGUCGCAGGUUCGAAUCCUGUCAUCCCGACCA